RNAcentral lists this small nuclear RNA (103 nucleotides) under Colius striatus (speckled mousebird). Lineage: Eukaryota; Metazoa; Chordata; Aves; Coliiformes; Coliidae. The record is from RNAcentral.
GAGCUUCAGCAGCACACAUACUACAAUUGGAACGUUACAGAAAAGUUUAGCAUGGCCCCUGUGUGAGGAUGACAUGUAAAUCUGUGAAGUGUUCCCUAUUUCU